UCUCCGUAGGUGAACCUGCGGAGGGAUCAUUACUGAGUGAGGGUCUCCGGGCCCGACCUCCAACCCUUUUGUGAACCACCUCGUUGCUUCGGGGGCGACCCUGCCGUUUCGACGGCGAGCGCCCCCGGAGGCCUUCAAACACUGCAUCUUUGCGUCGGAGUUUAAGUAAAUUAAACAAAACUUUCAACAACGGAUCUCUUGGUUCUGGCAUCGAUGAAGAACGCAGC
Molecule: unclassified non-coding RNA, 227 nt
Filed under: uncultured fungus
Lineage: Eukaryota; Fungi
Description: sequence contains ITS1, 5.8S rRNA gene
Rfam family: 5.8S ribosomal RNA (bases 179-227)
Source: RNAcentral